UUUAGUUUUAGUUUAAGUUUUAGUUUAGGUUUAGUUAGUUUAGGUUUAGAAGAAGAAGAAGAAGGAGAAAGGAGAUGAAGAAGAAGGAGAAAGGAGAAGAAAAAAAUAAGAAGAAGAAGGAAAAGAGGAAGAAGGAAAAGAAGAAGAAGGAAAAGGAAGGGAAGGAGAAGAACCAAGAAGAAGAAGAAGAAGAAAAAUAGGAGAGGAAGAG
Molecule: long non-coding RNA, 211 nt
Filed under: Hordeum vulgare
Lineage: Eukaryota; Viridiplantae; Streptophyta; Magnoliopsida; Poales; Poaceae
Description: long non-coding RNA (HVUL_LNC015688)
Source: RNAcentral